UACGGAGGGUGCAAGCGUUAAUCGGAAUUACUGGGCGUAAAGCGUGCGCAGGCGGUUUGUUAAGUCUGCUGUGAAAUCCCCGAGCUCAACUUGGGAAUUGCAGUGGAUACUGGCAAGCUGGAGUACGGUAGAGGAAGGUGGAAUUCCCGGUGUAGCAGUGAAAUGCGUAGAGAUCGGGAGGAACACCAGUGGCGAAGGCGGCCCUCUGGACCAGUACUGACGCUCAUGCACGAAAGCGUGGGGAGCAAACAGG
RNAcentral lists this ribosomal RNA (253 nucleotides) under uncultured bacterium. RNAcentral describes it as "partial 16S ribosomal RNA". It matches the Rfam family "Bacterial small subunit ribosomal RNA", at positions 524 to 776 of the family's 1533-position model. The record is from RNAcentral.